GUCUAAGGCCAUAUCACCCUGAAUUCACCCAAUCUCAUCUGGUCUCAAAAGCCAAGCAGUGUCAGGUCUACUUAGUACUUGAACAGAUCUUCAGAGGAGACUUUUCAGAGACA
RNAcentral lists this ribosomal RNA (113 nucleotides) under Castor canadensis (American beaver). Lineage: Eukaryota; Metazoa; Chordata; Mammalia; Rodentia; Castoridae. The record is from RNAcentral.